RNAcentral lists this ribosomal RNA (461 nucleotides) under Actinomyces naeslundii. Its description in RNAcentral is "bacterial SSU rRNA". It matches the Rfam family "Bacterial small subunit ribosomal RNA", at positions 28 to 466 of the family's 1533-position model. Lineage: Bacteria; Bacillati; Actinomycetota; Actinomycetes; Actinomycetales; Actinomycetaceae. The record is from RNAcentral.
GACGAACGCUGGCGGCGUGCUUAACACAUGCAAGUCGAACGGUGAAGGGGCCUGCUCUUGUGGGUCCUGGAUGAGUGGCGAACGGGUGAGUAACACGUGAGUAACCUGCCCCCUUCUUCUGGAUAACCGCAUGAAAGUGUGGCUAAUACGGGAUAUUCUGGGUCUGUCGCAUGGUGGGCCUGGGAAAGAUUGCGCCUUUUUUGGUGUUUUUGGUGGGGGAUGGGCUCGCGGCCUAUCAGCUUGUUGGUGGGGUGAUGGCCUACCAAGGCGGUGACGGGUAGCCGGCCUGAGAGGGUGGACGGUCACACUGGGACUGAGACACGGCCCAGACUCCUACGGGAGGCAGCAGUGGGGAAUAUUGCACAAUGGGCGCAAGCCUGAUGCAGCGACGCCGCGUGAGGGAUGGAGGCCUUCGGGUUGUGAACCUCUUUCGCCAGUGAAGCAGGCCUGCCUCGUUUGUG